RNAcentral lists this ribosomal RNA (254 nucleotides) under uncultured bacterium. RNAcentral describes it as "partial 16S ribosomal RNA". It matches the Rfam family "Bacterial small subunit ribosomal RNA", at positions 524 to 776 of the family's 1533-position model. The record is from RNAcentral.
UACGUAGGGUGCGAGCGUUGUCCGGAAUUAUUGGGCGUAAAGAGCUCGUAGGCGGUGUGUCACGUCGGCCGUGAAAACCUGCAGCUUAACUGUGGGCGUGCGGUCGAUACGGGCAUCACUGGAGUUCGGCAGGGGAGACUGGAAUUCCUGGUGUAGCGGUGAAAUGCGCAGAUAUCGUAAGGAAGACCAGUGGCGAAGGCGAGUCUCUGGACAGCAACUGACGCUGAGGCACGAAGGCCAGGGGAGCAAACGGG